RNAcentral lists this ribosomal RNA (471 nucleotides) under Bambusiphaga bakeri. RNAcentral describes it as "partial 16S ribosomal RNA". Lineage: Eukaryota; Metazoa; Arthropoda; Insecta; Hemiptera; Delphacidae. The record is from RNAcentral.
UUUAAAUAGCUGCAGUAAUUUAACUGUACAAAGGUAGCAUAAUCAUUAGUCUUUUAAUUGAGGUCUGGAAUGAAUGGUUUAACAAAAAGUUAACUUUAUUAAUUUAAUAAAAUUUGAAUUUAAUUUUUUGGUUAAAAAGCCAAAAUGUUUAAUUGGGACGAUAAGACCCUAUAGAUCUUUAAUUUUUUGUUUAAUUAAAACUUUUAGUAGUAUAAGUUUUUUUAAUUAAUAAAAUUUUGAUUGGGGUGAUUUAAAAAUUUUUACAACUUUUUAAUAUUUUUACAUAAAUAAAUGAAUAAUUUGAUCUAAAUUUUUUUUGAUUAUUAGAUUAAGAUACCUUAGGGAUAACAGCGUAAUAAGUUUGGAUAGUUCAUAUUGAUAAAUUUGUUUACGACCUCGAUGUUGAAUUAAUUAAAAAUUUUAAAGUAGAAAUUAAAGUUUUUAGGUCUGUUCGACCUUUAAUUGAUUACA